RNAcentral lists this ribosomal RNA (1305 nucleotides) under Triticum aestivum (bread wheat). RNAcentral describes it as "partial small subunit ribosomal RNA". The record is from RNAcentral. Lineage: Eukaryota; Viridiplantae; Streptophyta; Magnoliopsida; Poales; Poaceae.
AUGGCGACGGCCGCGCGGCGCCUCGUCCCCUUCCACCUCCGGCCGCCCGGCGCGCGCCCGCUCGCCGCCGUUGCGGCGGCUCCCCACAGCCGCAAGCGCGAUGCCGUCUCGUGCAAAUCAACCGGCAAGACCAGGGCGAAGAGCAAGGCCAAGGACAGCACCAUGUGGCGGCCGCAGCGGCGGGAGCUGGAGGAGCACCUCAAGCGGCGCACCCGCUCCGCCGGCGCCUUCGACCCCGGCCUAUACCGCCGCCACUCCCACUCCCACCACGUCCCCGUCUUGCUCGGGGAGGUCCUCGCCGCGUUCCGCCGCCCGCUCCCGCUCCGCUCAUUCGUCGACUGCACCCUAGGUGCCGCCGGCCACUCCCUCGCCAUGAUGGAGGCGCACCCGGAGAUGGAGCUGCACGUUGGCAUGGACGUCGACCCCUCUGCGCUGGAGAUUGGCCAGCGCCACAUCGAGGCUUUCCUUGCUAGUAGGGCAACUGAGGAAGGAGGAGAAGAUGCUCUGCAAGGGACACUGCGCGCCUAUACUCACGUCAAGAAUUUCAAGUACAUCAAGCAUGUUCUUGGUGGCGUCGACGAGAACCUGGCGGAUGGCUUGUCUGGCGUUGAUGGCAUCCUCAUCGAUCUUGGCAUGUCAUCCAUGCAGGUUAACAGGUCAGAUAGGGGAUUUAGUGUGCUCAAUGAUGGUCCACUUGACAUGCGCAUGGACCCUAAGGCAACUUUAACAGCAGAAGAUAUCUUGAACUCUUGGCCUGAGCUUGAAGUUGGGCGUAUCCUCCGUGAUUAUGGGGAGGAAAACAAUUGGCAAUCCCUUCAGAGGCGAAUUGUUAAAGAACGGAAAACAGGGGGUUUACACUCUACUAGCGAGCUUGUCAAACUUAUCCAAAGAACGUGCACCAUUUCAGGAGGACGGCAAGGCUGGAUUAAAACUGCAACAAGGGUAUUCCAAGCCCUUAGGAUUGCAGUUAAUGAUGAGCUCCAAACUUUAGAAGACGCACUUCAUUCGUGUUUUGACUGCCUAGCACCAGAUGGCCGUCUUGCUGUAAUCUCAUUCCACAGCUUAGAGGACAGAAUUGUGAAGCAGACAUUCCUGGAGCUUAUUCGUGGGGAUGAAGCAGACGAUGACGACGAAGACUUGGCUUGCGCUGACAUUGAGGACGAAGAUGAACCAUGGUUCAAGCAGAGGGUGCAAGGGACUAACGGCACCGUCCUGACAAAAAGACCAAUAACCCCUUCACAAGACGAAGAGAAACUAAAUCAAAGGUGUAGAAGUGCAAAGCUCAGAGUUAUUCAGAAGGCCUAA